GUCCUUGUAGCGCAAUGGAUAGUGCGUUGGACUUCUAAUCCAAAGGUUGUUGGUUUGAAUCCAACCUGGGAUG
RNAcentral lists this transfer RNA (73 nucleotides) under Trichonephila inaurata madagascariensis. It matches the Rfam family "tRNA". From Rfam's summary of the family: Transfer RNA (tRNA) molecules are approximately 80 nucleotides in length. The record is from Rfam by way of RNAcentral. Lineage: Eukaryota; Metazoa; Arthropoda; Arachnida; Araneae; Nephilidae.